CAGGCAGUCAAAUAUGAAGCUUGUGGGUGAAAGAAAGGCCAGGCUCCAUAACAUGAGAGAAUAUACGGUUCUGGUUCACUGCUACUUUACUGCAUUCAUUCAUUUAUCAUGAGUAACUGCUUUUACAGGUGUAAACAAUUACAACCGUGGGAGGAAGGCAGGAUGAAGAGAUUAAAAAAAAAUAAUCUCUACCUCUAUCUCAAACAUUUCAUAUCUUCAGGGCUUUAAAUAAAAAUAUACAGAAAGUCCAACCGGCACAGCACAGGAAACUUCAGCAAAAAUGGAAUAAAUGGAACUCAAGCGAAAUACAACAUGCAUGAUAUUUUCAAAGCCUGGCUUGAUAAGCAUAAAUGUAGAAUUAAAGUGUGUGUGGGGGGGCGGGGGGGGGGGGGGCACAUUAUUUAUCAUAUACCGCACAAGUGCAUCCAUAACCAGCAGGGUGUAAAAGCACUCGUGUAAUUUUAAUCAUUGUUAAUGCAAGUGCACUGAAUGUUUCAUUUAAAACCCUGUUUAGGCCUUUCAAGAACUCCAUCUAAUGCAUUCUGCUCACACCUAUCCAUGCCAGCACUGCAAUUAAGACUUAAUGAAAGUAAUUACUCCUUGAGAUGACUAAUUAAAGAGGCACAUUUACAGGUGGUGGAGGAUUGGGGGGGAGGGGAUGGGGGGUUUAAAAAAAAAAAAAAAAUCAACAUUCUGUAUAAUUUAAGACUCAUUUAGCUUUAGGACAUUUCCACCUGUAAUGCAUUACAGAAAAUGGCCUUUAAGAAAAAAAUUUGCUCUUAAAUGAUAGAAAUGUAUAGUUGGUGGAGUACAGUGCGUGGUUUUUGUUUCUCCAUCACCCAGUAGGAAUCCAAUCCAGUGCACUCCUUUACCUGUUUGAGCUGCGUCAUCAAGCUGCUCAGUGUCCAUGGACAUGCUUGGGUCAAAAUGGUCAGGAGCCUGCUGCUGCUGUUGUCUCUUCAGUGUGUCAUUAGACAGCUGAACUUUAUUUAUGCGAAGGGCUGCUCGGUUAUCCCGAGCCAUUUGCUAGAAGGCAGAGGGGAAAAAAUAAAAACCAACUACGAUUUCUUUGAAGGUUCACAAACGUCAAUCGGAUCCAAGUUCUAAAACGAUGGCAGAUCUUACCACGUACGGAGCUCGUUCCUGAGAGCUAGCCUUUCUCCACAGUUUUGCAAUCUGCUUUACCCUAGUCGACCAAUCUAUGGAUAAAAUUCAAACGAUCAGUCUCUGGACAUGAUCUCCAUCCAGUCAGACAUUGUCGCACGACAGGUACGCACCUGGAAAUUCUUCUCUCAGGUUGGGAAAAUUGACGUUCGUGUAGAGCACAGGUGCCACAGUGGCCAUCUCUCCGAGGGUCUCCUCUUUCUCCCACUUCAGUGUACUCCUCUGGGCGUUGGACAUGACAUCUGUUUCUGGCUCUGCAGGAGGAGCCGGACCAGGCAUAGGGACAGCAGCACUCCAGGGACCCACCAUAUCACUCCCCAUCUGGCUGAACUUCUUCUCCCUGUAGAGAUGCAACUCAAACGGUCACGUUAACUUUCCAAAGAAAGACAAACUCCUGAAUUAUCUUUUACUACUCGAUGACCAGACUCCACUGCAGCGUUUCUCAAAAGAUAAAAGAUACGCCGGUUCUACGUAAGGAAUAACCCUCAUCUGUUAUAGAAAAUUCAUCCACAUCAUCAGAUUUGAGAAUUCAACAGCGGUGUGCUGUAACGUGUCUUACCUCAUGCUUUCGGGAAAAGGCAUCCGGUGAAUGGGAGAGAAAGAGCUAGAAAUGCCAGCUCCGGACAUCAUGGGAUUUGUGGGAAAGACGGGGUUUGGACCCAUCAUACCAUUCAUAACAGGCAUGCGAGGGAACAUCGCAUUAUCACCUGAAACUGAAACCAAGAUGAUUUAGUUGCUUCAACAAAUCAUAGCGAAGCGUGUAGUAAUAGUUUUUCCGUCUAUUCAUGGGCACACCGAGCAGAGAUGAAAAGAUACCUGGUCCUUGUUGUGGCACGGUCAUGACUGGCACAUUAGGGAUGGUGUUGGGCGACUGUGCUAGUUGAGAUGACUGAUUGGUGCUUGGGCUCAACACUGCUGUAAACAAGUCUUCCACAUCUUUCCCUUCUAGUUCUAAAUAAAGACAGAGGGUCUAGUUAACAUUCCAGUCCACCAACAUGCAUACCAUAGUAUGUACAAUAAAGAUAACAAUACAUGACAGCUAACCCUUUGCAACAAAUGUAUAAAUAGCAUUAAAAGCAAUUGAAAGAAAAAGACAUGUCGGAUUAGUGACACUUCUGGGGGUCUUACUAAGGUAAGACACUAAGUUCCUAGCACAGGCACAGCCUACAUACAUUGUACAUAUGUCAUGUGACCCAGUAAUGCUCAGGCGCUAAUAAAAUAGGACAAAACAAUCAGUUUGCAUUAAAAUGCGCUGUGGAGUAAGUGUAGAUUUUUUUAUUUUUUUGCAUUAUGAGCAUGCGUGCAUCGUGAAGACACGGCCUGGUUAGAUUGCCCCAGUAUUACUAUAGUACAAUGGUAAUUAGACAUACAUACCUGGAAUCUGGAGCUUGCUGAGAAUAGCCCCUAAAAAUCAAACACAAACAUCAGAUUACAUGGAAAUUUGUUCAAACAC
Ictalurus punctatus (channel catfish) is the source of this 2617-nucleotide long non-coding RNA. Lineage: Eukaryota; Metazoa; Chordata; Actinopteri; Siluriformes; Ictaluridae. The record is from Ensembl.